GCAUGAUAGAAAAGUGUUUAAACUAAUGCGUUUAUAAGCUUUUAUUAAGGGGUGCAUGAUAGAAAAGUGUUUAAACUAAUGCGUUUAUAAGCUUUUAUUAAGGGUGCAUGUUAGAAAAGUGUUUAAACGAAUGUGUUUAUAAGCUUUUAUUAAGGGUGCAUGUUAGAAAAGUGUUUAAACGAAUGUGUUUAUAAGCUUUUAUUAAGGGUGCAUGUUAGAAAAGUGUUUAAACUAAUGCGUUUAUAAGCUUUUAUUAAGGGGUGCAUGUUAGAAAAGUGUUUAAACUAAUGCGUUUAUAAGCUUUUAUUAAGGGUGCAUGUUAGAAAAGUGUUUAAACUAAUGCAUUUAUAAGCUUUUAUUAAGGGUGCAUGUUAGAAAAGUGU
Long non-coding RNA from Myxocyprinus asiaticus (Chinese sucker), 383 nucleotides. RefSeq lists it as uncharacterized. The record is from RefSeq and is a predicted model, not a curated record. The transcript is spliced from 3 exons. Lineage: Eukaryota; Metazoa; Chordata; Actinopteri; Cypriniformes; Catostomidae.